AAGCAACCAUAGGCAGCCUUCAGUUCUCAUGUGGAGAACAAUAAAUCCCCCUGAAGGCUCCAACAGUUCUGCUGCUGACAACAAUCAGAACACUAAAUCCCCUCGAAGGCUCAAACAGUUCUCCUAUGAGAACACGAAAUCCCCUCAAAGGCUCAAACAGUUCUCCUAUGAGAACACGAAAUCCCCUCGAAGGCUCAAACAGUUCUCUUAUGAGAACACCAAAUCCCCUUAAAAGCUCAAACAGUUCUUGACGAUACCAGCAGAGGUCGCAAUCGAUCGUUGCGAUCGGUUUGACGUUUCAAUUUCACGAAAAUUCCUGAAACAACAACAACGUCGGUUGCAUCUGCGCUUGUUAAAACAAGUGAAAAAACGUUUAAAUUAGUGAAAAAGUGUAGUGUAAAAUAAGUGAAACAGUAGUGUACCAUCGUAGUAAGCUGAGGUAAGUGUAGUUCACCGAAAAUACGUGUUUGUUUUUUGUCCGCCGCAGCAUCCGCAGCAUCGUGAUCGUGACGCAGUUACUGAUAUUAUAAAGGAACACCGGAUGAUAAGAAAGGCUUUGGGAUGAGGAUGCCCAUAAUUCCAUAUUAAACUUUGACGAGAAUGUGUCGUGUCGUGCCGAGUUGCCAAGUACUGUAACCUGCAUCUGCCGACCUUUCUGCGCUCAGUGACCCGUACGGGGGGGAGAAGACCUUCGAGCAGGCACUGAAGGAUGCGCUUAACUUUCGAACGAAGUGAAGUGAUCGAUUGAAUGAUUUGUGCAGCAACGACAGCAACCGUGAUGAGUGAUAACCGUGCCGAAACAACCGACCGUAUAUCAGCAACAGUACAGAAAUCUGCGGCCGAAAACCGAGCAUCAGUAGUAAGAUUGUAGAGUUUCGACUUGUUGCCCAGAGGGCUUGAUGAUGUGGCUGCGAGCGUGAUGAUCGACAGCAUCAAGUACUAUAAAGCGGUCAACGAGCUGAACAUCACCGACACACUGCAGAUGACGAGCUAAACGGCGAAGGCUUGUAUGGCGCCACCGAAGGCGAAGCAUCCUACCAACUUGCCAUACGAUCCCUUGGUGCAAAAGUGACGAAACACUGCCUGCUGCUUCAGCAGGAUAACUUUCCACAGCUUGCAAGCCGUCUAGCACCGGGAGAUGCACAGAACGGGGCGCUCCAUGGGAAGGUUGUCGAUGAUCUGAGCCGCUCAUCAACACCGACUACGAUGCUAGCGAUCUAUCUACAACCAUUAACAUCAACAUGAACAACAGCAUCAUCAUCGGGCGCAAUAGCAGCAUUCGGUACAUCAUGUGCAGUAGACACAGCAGCCGGUGCAAGUACCUCAUCCGAUGAUACGUGGAGUACUAGUCACCGGUACGCAGAAUGGUGGAGGUGAAGGAUGCGAACCUUUCCUUUCGACCUUUCGAACAAAGAUGCUCCGUUGCCAGCCGGUACGUGAAUGGUGCCGGUGGUAUGCCGAAGGAAAUCGCCGGUCGUUGAGUGGAGUGCGGAGACGAUAGAGGACGUCAAUGCGACUACAGCGAUGCUUGCCCUGAAGCAUGGACCGAAAAUUGUCAUCGAAAACUCCUUCCGUAAUGGCACGCCAACGGCUAUUACGACAUCAACGCGGCGCGGGAGAACGAUCGACUACGGGCCUGAUCUUCAAUAGGGGGGCCCCCUCUGCUGAUCGGGAAUGGUAGCAGCUGCUGCUCGUCAUCCGACGAACGAAUCCACAAUGAAUUGCUGCGGCAUACACUGACGCAUCAUCCGCUCCAUCACCACCACCAUUCUAAUCAGCAUCACAGUGAGGUUCAGCAACGGUACCUCAUCGGAUGCUGCUUACGAAAACAGCGAGUAAAGCCUCCAUCCACAUCAUGCAUCGGCCAAGGAUAUGUGCUCUCCUCCCCAGCCUCGUUGAACGGUUCGUUAAAGCGAUCAGAACCGAACGAUUCGUACAGUGGGACCCCGACCGAUUACCAUCAUCACCAUCACCACCGUAAUCGACAGCAAUUCGUUGCAUCAUCGGAUGAACGGACAAUGCAGAUAGCAAACGGUGCCGGCACUCCUCGACCCUACCAUCCGCACAACCUCGGCACGGAGUACGGUGGCCAAGCACCACUGUCACUGCCAGGUACGGUUACACGGUGACCCCAUACUAAUACCAAAGCCCGCUCCGGAAAGGGGCGCACGGCAUCGCGGAGAUAAGAGGGUGAUUUUUAUGGCUAAAUUAGUGUAAUUUAUUUAUAAUUUUAAAAAAUCAUAAUUUUUUCAAAUAAAAUUUGGUGCUAUACA
Long non-coding RNA from Anopheles darlingi, 2273 nucleotides. RefSeq lists it as uncharacterized. The record is from RefSeq and is a predicted model, not a curated record. Lineage: Eukaryota; Metazoa; Arthropoda; Insecta; Diptera; Culicidae. The transcript is spliced from 5 exons.